AGCGCGCCGCAGGCCACGCCCACAGGCGCUCCCUGUCCGCAGCGAGCAAACGCUCGGCAAUCAACCCACCCGUCCGUGAUCAGCGAUCAGCCUUCAUAGUCCAGCACAACCUGAGACCUAAUGCCGGAACGUAGCUUCACGUACGCUGUCCACUCCCCGUCGUCGUCAUUCCUCGCUGUCGACUUGUGUGUCUCGUCAACCUUUAAAACCCCCCGUGAAUCUUCCCUUGCCUCCCCGGACCUCGACAUCACGCCUGCCUGCCAAGUACCGACCACGACGCUGCGCUCCUCCCCUUGAUCCUCCGCCUGUCCUCCGACGCUCGAGCCUGCUUGCGCAAAUUGGAAACCUCUGCCUGGAUCAACACGCACCCUCAACACCCUCUGAUCUCCACGCUCAGAUAAGUCUCACACUUAGUUACAUUUCAUCUCUUUGGGUUCAUUACACACUACACACACAUUCCAAAUUGUCAAUAAAUACGCUGAUGAAGUAGUUAUAAAAUUGCUGUAAAUGUGAACAUGCAGACAGUAAACAAGAAGGAAGAAAAACAAAGCUUUAUUCAUUAUGGAAAACAGGUUUAAUUAUAGUAUCUGGUAAAAGUAAGAGAAAAAAGGAGAAAGAACAUCAUAACUAAUUACUUUACAAUGUUUUAAAAAAGGGUAUGAAGACAAAAAGCUGUGAUAAGGUGAUCUGCCAUCUAUUACUUUUGACUGCUGCAGAAUAGUGUAAAAAGAGAAAUGGAAAAAAUAGUAAACUGUGUUAAAAACAAUGUUUGUUUGGAAAAUACUUCCUGGAUUUAUGUUGUUUUUCUGUAGUACCUGCGUUUUAAAAAUGUAUAGUUGUUUUAGUCACUGAUCGGGGUUCAACUACUUUUGCCUGGCUUACCCAGUAGAUCAGGGGUAGGGAACCUAUGGCUCUGGCUCUAGAGCCACAUCUGGCUCUAGAGCCAGGUGUGGCUCUUUUGAUGACUGCACCUGGCUCUCAGAUAAAUAUUAGCUGACAUUGCUUAACACGAUAAGUAAUGAAUAAUUCCGCUGGUAAUCACAGUGUCAAAAAUAACGUUCAAAAUAUAAAACAUUCUCAUGCAUUUUAAUCCAUCCAUCCGGUUUCAACCGCACCGGUUCAAGAAGUCGCAUUAAGGGUCAGAAGUAUUCUAUUUAUUGUUGGUUAGCUUCAGAAUAACAAUGUUAUUAAAAAGAAUAAAAGACGUAUUAUACUCUCAAAAUGUUGGUCUUACUUAAAAAUGCACAGGUUUAGUUGUAUUCAGUCUGAAAGAAAUAUUAUAUGGCUCUCACGGAAAUACUUUUUAAAAUAUUUGGCUUGUAUGGCUCUCUCAGCCAAAAAGGUUCCCGACCCCUGCAGUAGAGGGAGAUACAUUCUUUCAUUCGGCCAUUACAGACUGGACCAGAAUGAAUAAACAUUGUGUCCGUGUUUCUGUUCAAUAUCCCACUCCUCUACAGGUAAAAAAAUGUGGUUAUUCAACACUUUGCAAUGUAUUUUUGCUCUGUCUGUAAGGUACUUACCUACAUGUUUUAAAGCUGACUGUGUGGUUGUGUGUGUGUGCGUGCAUCUUCGCGUGUGUGUUGAUUAGUUUGAUCCAGAGAUGUAUUUUAUUUUUUAAUGUUGUGUAGUCGUUUUUCAUAAGAGUAGAUUUUGAGAGGAAAGUUUUGCUGAUAUUGUUAUUUUGUAGAGGAAAAUGUUAAAAAAAUGUCAAUGCUUUACCAGUUACAUUUGUUGAUGAUAAUUAUGCAUUUCUAUUUGUGUUUACACUAAAGUAGUGUCAGUUCUUAUCUGACUAACUAUUGAUAAAAAUAUUACAUAUUUUUACAGAUUAAAGUUCCAGCACAAGGCUUUAUUUUUCUACUUCUUUCAUGUUUUGAAUAGAGAAAUGUAAUUGUUUAAAAAGGUGCAAUGUGUAAAAAGAAUUGUUUACAAGUGUAUGUUUUUGGAAAAUUGCCAUUACAAACUGAACCUGAAUGAAUAAACAUUGUGUCCGUGUUUCUGUUCAAUAUCCCACUCCUCUACAGGGGCGUAAGACUGACAGCUAAUGACGUCAUCGUCUUCCAGUAGUCUUCUUCUCCCGCUGUACCGUCACAAAAAGGCGAUUUUAGUCACACAGAAAAUGCAUUCAGAACACAGUUUAAUAGACCAAUAUUAUUUAUUUCAUGGUUUUGUUAUUUGGUUAUUUGUUUUUUCCACCAUGUCCGCCCGCCCCUGUAAAAAUGAACAUAUUGUCAAAUGACAGGCAUUUCUUCCUCAAAUAGGUCAUGACAUAACAUUAUAUUUACUGUAUUUACCAAUGGACUGAUUGUUAGAUACUGGGCCUCCUGACGGCACCCCUCCUCCGUUGUCGAUGGCUUCAGAUGACAUCAUAUCUGCAGCAAAGGAUCCUUUUGUUAUCCCAUCUGAGGUGAACCCCAUCGCACUCACACCCGAUUCAGCCUCAUCCGACGAAGUAC
This is a long non-coding RNA of Nerophis ophidion (straightnose pipefish), 2456 nucleotides long. RefSeq lists it as uncharacterized. The transcript is spliced from 2 exons. The record is from RefSeq and is a predicted model, not a curated record. NCBI's taxonomy places the organism in Eukaryota, Metazoa, Chordata, Actinopteri, Syngnathiformes, Syngnathidae.